UGCAAGUCGAACGGUAAGCUUUGUAGCAAUAUGAAGCCUAGAGUGACGUAAGGGUGCGUAACACGUAUGCAAUCUACCCUCAACAGGAGUAUAGCUCGGGGAAACUCGGAUUAACACUCCAUAAUAUUACGAAGUGGCAUCACUUUGUGAUUAAAACUGCGGUGGUUGAGGAUGAGCAUGCGUCUGAUUAGUUAGUUGGUGAGGUAACGGCUCACCAAGACGAUGAUCAGUAGGGGAACUGAGAGGUUGAUCCCCCACACUGGCACUGAGAUACGGGCCAGACUCCUACGGGAGGCAGCAGUAGGGAAUAUUGGUCAAUGGGUGAGAGCCUGAACCAGCCAUGCCGCGUGCAGGAAGACGGCCUUCUGGGUUGUAAACUGCUUUUAUCUGGGGAUAAAAAGCCCAUGCGUGGGACAUUGAAGGUACCAGAUGAAUAAGCACCGGCUAACUACGUGCCAGCAGCCGCGGUAAUACGUAGGGUGCAAGCGUUGUCCGGAUUUAUUGGGUUUAAAGGGUGCGUAGGCGGUCUAUUAAGUCAGUGGUGAAAUCCAACAGCUCAACUGUUGAUGUGCCAAUGAUACUGAUGGACUUGAGUACAGACGAGGUAGGCGGAAUUGACAGUGUAGCGGUGAAAUGCAUAGAUAUUGUCAAGAACACCGAUAGCGAAGGCAGCUUGCUAGCCUGUAACUGACGCCGAGGCACGAAAGUAUGGGGAUCAAACAGGAUUAGAUACCCUGGUAGUCCAUACAGUAAACGAUGAUUACUCGAUGUUGGCGAUACACAGUCAGCGUCUUAGCGAAAGCGAUAAGUAAUCCACCUGGGGAGUACGCCGGCAACGGUGAAACUCAAAGGAAUUGACGGGGGUCCGCACAAGCGGUGGAGCAUGUGGUU
This 891-nucleotide ribosomal RNA is filed under the name uncultured bacterium. RNAcentral's name for it is "bacterial SSU rRNA". It matches the Rfam family "Bacterial small subunit ribosomal RNA", at positions 56 to 946 of the family's 1533-position model. The record is from RNAcentral.